RNAcentral lists this ribosomal RNA (253 nucleotides) under uncultured bacterium. RNAcentral describes it as "partial 16S ribosomal RNA". It matches the Rfam family "Bacterial small subunit ribosomal RNA", at positions 524 to 776 of the family's 1533-position model. The record is from RNAcentral.
UACGUAGGGUGUGAGCGUUAAUCGGAAUUACUGGGCGUAAAGCGUGCGCAGGCGGUUCGUUAAGUCAGAUGUGAAAGCCCCGGGCUCAACCUGGGAACUGCAUUUGAAACUGGCGGGCUUGAGUGUGGCAGAGGGGGGUGGAAUUCCGCGUGUAGCAGUGAAAUGCGUAGAUAUGCGGAGGAACACCGAUGGCGAAGGCAAUCCCCUGGGCCUGUACUGACGCUCAUGCACGAAAGCGUGGGGAGCAAACAGG